ACGUUUUUACUAAUGUGGGACAACUGGCUUUCACUUUCUCCAUUCCCAUGCCUUACCCAUCAGCAAGUUCUUCCUCUCCUUAGAUUCCAUCGUCAUAGAGCAGAGCUUUCUCUUGGAUAUUCCUGAUGUAGGUUCCCUCUUUAGCCUUUUUUUUUUUUAACUAUACACUUUGCAAGAUUAACUUCAAAGUAUGCCGAUUCCUAGAGCACAUCUUCGAACCUUUUUUAUGGACAGGUAGACUGAUCGAAAAGCAGUUGGUAAUAUAGGUAUAAGAGUUACCUACAGCGAUGGGAGAAAAUGAACUAACAAAAUAAUUUUUCCCAUGUUCUUCGACCACUAGCAAAUGGCAACCUAUGAAGCAUCUUUACAGGCAAGUCCACUUUGCAAUUGGUAUGGCAUCUUGAGAUCUUUGCACUUUUGCAUAACCAGUGUGAAUUUGUUCAAGUAUCAUUGGCACAAAUGGAAUGCUAAUUACCACGGCUAACCCGUAUGUGGACUCAAUUUGGGUCAAGGGUAUGGGUGAAAAACAAAUUCAAGUAGACAAGACCAUUUUACAUACUCAAGUAAGCAAUUUUCAUUUUGUCAUCAUAAAUUAUGCAUGUCUGUAGUGGUAAGUAACUUUCUGUCCAGUUCAUAUUUAAGUAGAGCUACAUAUCAACCCUCCAUAUUUAUUAACUUUCUGGACAAUUGUAGAGGUUGGAUUGUGGUGUGAGUAAUAUUUUGAUCAUUAGUUCUCAGACCUGAUUUUUUGCCUGUGAUAGUUUUCAAUUUGUUACUGGUUUUAUUGAUAUUUCAACUGGCCUUUGUAUGUGCCUUUGGCCUUCCCAAAUUUCAACAGCAAAAUGCUUCUUGCGAGCACCCCCACACCAAAUUUCAUAGAGAUGAGGUAUUAAAAGUUCACUGAUGCACUCCUGAUAGAUCAAAUGAUCUCGCAAGUAGCUUUGAAACCUUUUGAUUAGUAACCGUUAUCUUUAACUAAGUACUGUAUGAAAGUGCAGCAGGGUAUCUACUCCAUCUACUCUUGUGAUUGGAAGUGUUUCAUGAUAGAAAUCUAGAUUGCUGUUGGAUAAUUGCAUUUUCAUAUCUACCAGGUGUGCAUGUGUGUAUGAAUUAUGUGCCUCAUUUUGGAAAAAUCUUAAGGCUAGCGAGCUAUAUGUAAAUUUGAUAUAUGAACCAUUUAUUCAUGGGGUUUGAAUGAAGGCUCACCUCUUCUGGGCUUAAACUCAAGUCUACGCAUGACUAUUGUGACAGUAAUACUUUUUUGAUUUCAUCCGGAGGUUUUAGCUAUGUAUCAAUAUACAAGUGCUUUACCGAGAGUGUAAGUAUAACCCGACUUUGCUAAAACCUCGGUGUCCUUCCCAUUUAAAUUUUCCAUAUCUAUUAUUACAUUUAGCAUUGAAUUUUGGUUAAUUGAACUUCUUUUUCAGUUUCAUUUCGUCAGAAAGCAUGCCCCAAAGUAUUCAAAAUCAUCCUACAAAAUAAAGUUGUUUCUAUCGCGCAUCAGAUGAUGUGAAACAAUUACUACUUUACAUGAGGACGCAUGAUGUUCAUGUUGUAAUUCGAUAAUGAAAUAUUUAAGGAAUGCCUUCUGACAUCAAUGUGAAUGAACUCUAAAUUACAAAUGUUUGAGGUAUCUUAUGUGAUUGAGUUAAUUAUUGAUUCAUUUUCAAAGUUUGCUUAAAUGCUUUUGCUUGCACUUUCUUAUUACAUGCUUAGGCAAAAAGUGGUCAUAGAUGCAAAUUUUACAAGGUAAAAGGUUGUUCAAAGUUAUUACUUUAAUAACGCAAUAAAAUGACACCAGGCACCCAUGUGAAGCAUGGGCAUGCUAACUAUAUAAUAAGCAUGGGUCGAGGGUAUGACGAAGGGUAUUCCUGUUAAUAUUGACUGUUUUACGGGCAAAAUGAUGUCCUUCUCUUCCCUUAUAUUGAGCCAUCUUUUGGGAAACCAAAAGCCCACCGUUCAUCCUCUUCCAUUUAUUUGCUCUUCUUCUUAGUUUUACAAGGUUUUCUUCCAAAAUUCUAAAUCAGAAUUCCAUGUCGACUCUACUGAUUUUGCGUUUUGUAGGACAACUUUAAAUUCCCUUAAAAACUCUACAACCAGUCAUCCACACAGAAGUAACUGCUAAACACCUCUAUGAUGGUCGACUCUUUGGUAGAGAUUGAUCGUUUCAAUUGGGUUCUUGAUGCGUGAGUGCUUUGGAAGAUUCAAGAUUAAUUUUUGUGUGAAAAUUUGGAUAGGUUAUUCGUAGGUGAGUUUCACCCUUUCCCAUUCUCUGCUUGUUUUACUUCAUGUAUUACGCCCAAAGUUAGUCUAUUUUGGUAGUGGUGAAGACUUCAAAGUUUGUUGGUGUUUCGAUUUUGAACUGAUUGCAUAUAAUCUUAGCAUCAAUCUAACCUCUAUAAAGGUAUUUCUUCUUAAGAAUUGCCAAUCACAUAUUCCAUACUGAUGUGCUGGGCAAAUAGGGUAAAGAUAUAUGGGAGAGUACUAUUACAAUUGUCCUGUUGUGUUAAAUGCAUUAAUAAUUAAGCAUUUCAAAAUCGUUGUUUGCUUGAGUUUGCUUUGGCAAUAGCUACAUUGUUGUAUGGCAGUUACAGGUCUUCAACCAACAACAACAAAAAUGUCAGUGACAAAUGCCAUCAUGUUUCAUAGUUCACAAUGUCCCAAAAUUUGCAAUCAGGAUCCAUCACAAGGUAUUGGGGAUUUGUCGGGUUUGGUGUUUGUUGUAUUUUUGAUAAGUGAUUAAUGGGAAAAACUAUCGGCAUAUCGAGAGUUCUUUAAUACUUAGUUGAUCAUUUACCCAUUUGUGUCCUUUUUAUUUGAGUUUUCCCUUUUAUAUAUAGGGGUUAUUUAUGUUCAUUUCUAUUCAGAUGUAAAUGAAUUAGGAUUCACAUAUAUUCACACCCUAGUGAUUGAAGUUGAAAUGUUAGAUUUAUCAACUAAAGCCUCCAUUUCGGGACAUUCAUUAAAUUAGUCUGUCCAUCUAAACUAUUAUAUAUCGGAGAAUUCACUCUCUUAAUUCAAAUAGGUUGGUAGUUUUUAUGUAAUGGGGUGAGUGAGGAGGGCAGAAUAGGAUCAUAGGAUUUAGGGGUGACGUGUUACAAGUUAUUAAAUUUCUGAGCACAAACCAGUACCAAAAAUUCUAAUCUUCGUUAAAAAGUUUAAGAUCCAGAGCUUCGAAAUAUGCAUGGUUGGUGACAGACUGGAUACGGAUAUACUAUUUGGACAAAGUGGAGGCUGAAAACUCUUCUUGUUCUUUCAGGUAGCAGAAGGAAAAUGUGCUCUCCAAUUAGUCAUAUGCUACAAGUCUGUCAUCCAAUACUAUCUUUUAAUUGUGUUCUAAGUGUGACGUCUUUAUCGAUGCCUCAAGAUCCCAAAAUCUCUAGACAACCGGAUUUUUACCCCAACAAGAUUUCUGAUUUCCUCUCUAUCACAGCAGCUGCAGUUUGAGCCAGUCCACUAACAAUCUCCAUAUGGUAAUUCAAUUCUUUUGUCUGAAAUGUAUUUAGAUUAUGUACUUCAUAUGUACAUCCACUUCUCUUUAAUCUAAAAUGUGGGAGCUUGAACAUAGGCUAUCUGAGAUGCUAUUUAAUACAUUGUACUAAAGAGAUUAUGAAAUACCAACCAUUCAUACUAUUUGCCAAUAAAAAAAAACUUUCAAGAUAAAUGGUUCUUGAAAAAUUGAUAUAUGCGCUCAAGUACCUCUGCCAUGAAGUGGUAGCUAGCUUUUUUCAUUCUUCUUUUUUGGUUACUUGGUGCCUAAUGAUGCAAAUUAAUGGAAUAUCAUGGCAUGGGCAUAAGGAUCAAUUUUAUGAAUAUAGAAUGUAAAGACAAUUUUAUGAAUAUAGAAUGUAAAGACAAUUUUAAACUAUUCCCAUGGACCUAUGACCCUUUAACAAAUUCUAUAGCUCUCUACUCAGAUCUUCUUCCUCUUCACUUACAUUGACCGUGUAGAAGAUUCUGGUAGGUUACUAAAGUAAGCUAUAUCAGUUAUUUCCUAGGCGCCUUCAAUCUGUUAGUAAAUUGUUGAUUUGGUCAGUUGGUGAAAAUGCAAUACUUUACAACUCAUAUGGUACUUUGAAAACGAAGGAGAUUAAUUGCUCCCUGAGCCAUAAUUAGUGGAAUUAGAGAAAAAAUGGGUUAAUUUCAAAGAUGUUAAAAGAACAUGAGGAUAAUGAUCUAAUGAUGGAUCACAGAUAGGUAGUAUUGAAGUCGAUAAUUAUUAAGAUAAUUAUAAGGUUAUAAUCAUAGCAUUCAAUUCUACAUAAAACUGUGCUAAAAAACUGAAAGCUGAGAACUAAAUAUAGUCAGUACACCUCAAUACAUGGUUAGAUUCAUAGUUCUAAAGAUUGAUUACAUCUAAUAAUGACUUACUGCGAUGUUUUCUUGAUGAGAUAGUUGGUAUAUUUUUAUGCUGUAAUUAAAACGUGGAAUGGUUAUUGCUCAAUAGACUCUUUUGUGGAAGAAGUGAAUAUACUGGAAAAAUAACUUGACUGACGUUUUAUAUUACUCUUCUAUAAACUGAGUUACUGAGUAUUCUGUUUUAUGGCUUAGCAACUAUUGUAUUAGGAUUUGGUUGCUGCAGAUGUUUCAUGAACUGUAGAUAAGAUAUAUUGGAUGCUUUCUUGAAUGGUUCUCUAAACGAUCCAUUCCCUUCAAAACACUAUAUGCAUAUACUUUGAAGGACAAUUUUCUAAAAUACAUUGUGACCAUAUUAUUUAUUUAGUAGAUUCCCGAGUGUGGUUGGUAAAGGAACAAUGGAUAAGGUAAAGCCAGUUUUCAUUCAUUCUCUUCUUUAAAUAUUACUAAGAAAGUUAUAUAUGUCAAUAAUAUAUAAUUGUGUUACAAAAACGAUCGCCCAUAGACUCUCUGAAUUUCAUGAAACAAAACAAUGAUUUCCAACUUGACUAUUCCCAAUCAAAUAUGUAGGUACAAUACAAGUUUGAAUUGAUGUAGACCUUAAAGAUUGUUAAUAGUGUGCUUGUGAAUUUCCGUGUUGAUUUCAAAGUUUAAUGAUGACGACAAAUUUUGUUGCAUUGUAGGAAGGUUAACUUUCUAUCCUUCAACUAUGCCUACUGAUCUACCGUAUUUAUCAGUUUUGCUACCUAAAGUGUACCAAUAGUGUGGUGCUUGUGUCACGUCAAUAUUAGCUUUCGACGUAUACUGAUUUGAUUCUUCUUGUUUGGGGGAAUUAAAGAUUAAGGGGGAUUUAAGAUUUGUUGUUUCAAGGAAAUUACCUAAAAGAAGUUGAAAGAUAUGUAUUAAAAUAAUUGGGCAGGUUUAUUUUAGAUAUGAAAUUUUCAUGUUGCUUUGGAUGUGUCCAUAUGUAAAGCAUUACCUAUUAUUUGAUCCUUUCUAAGCGUCUACUAUGUAUGAUAAACAUGGGAAGCAAGCAAAAAUCUCAAACUCUUCUUCAAGGACAACCAGUCCAUCUAAACCACGAGCCCGAGAGGUGGUGGGAAGACAAAAGGGACGUAUUAUGACAGAUUAGAGGAUGCAAUACACAUAAAUGCAUUCCAUCUGCUUAUCUUGAUUAGCCUUUGAACGACUACUUGGAUAUUCUUCACAAACUAUUUAGAGAAGGGGUUUGUUAUCGUGGUCUUAUGCUCAUGAAAAAGACAUGCAUAGUUCUUGACCCUUAAUAGCCAGCUUCGGCCUGCUAGAUGUUGAUAGGCAUCCUCAUUUUUACUAUUUCAGAAUGUUUGGCCAGUUAGCUUAAAUUAUAAUUUACGAAAUUCAAAGAUAUUCUAAAUAAUGGUAUUGCUGGAGAGCAAGAAGAGAGUGGAUAAUACUAAAUUAGCAUAUGCUAUUGAGGGAUAACGUUCAUUCACUAUAGUUGUGUUAAUGAAAAUGCGAUUUAGGUAGCCAAGUUUUCCUUAGGCAAGGCAUAUUGCGAAUGAUUACAUUUUCACUAUUGGUCUUUUGAUAACUUCCUCAACAGAUGCUCAUAUAUUUUCUCCAGCUUUGUGUUUCUUAAAAUUGGAAAAGGUCAGAGUGGCGAGGCGAGGCAGGGUGAAAGAUUAUCUACCAAAGCUCGGAGAAAGAUGAUAUCUUAUACAGGAGCUUUGAAAUUUGCCCUUGAAAUUUAGAAUUGCAACAACACUCAUGGUAGUAGUAUGAACUGUUAUUGUGUCGUACAUGUAAUUGGUUUUGACAAUACGCUUGAAAUGAGCAUAUAAAUGUUUUUCCAUGUUGAAUCUUUCAAGUCAUUCUGUAGCUGGAGGUUGCAAACAAUGAAUCGAGAAAGGACGGGCACAGGCCAUUUAGUAUACACAUAUAUAUAUAUAUAAGGACGGGCACAGGUCAUUUAGUAUACACACAC
This is a long non-coding RNA of Lycium barbarum (goji berry), 6319 nucleotides long. RefSeq lists it as uncharacterized. NCBI's taxonomy places the organism in Eukaryota, Viridiplantae, Streptophyta, Magnoliopsida, Solanales, Solanaceae. The record is from RefSeq and is a predicted model, not a curated record. The transcript is spliced from 3 exons.